Molecule: ribosomal RNA, 253 nt
Filed under: uncultured bacterium
Lineage: Bacteria
Description: partial 16S ribosomal RNA
Rfam family: Bacterial small subunit ribosomal RNA
Source: RNAcentral
GACAGAGGGUGCAAACGUUGUUCGGAAUUACUGGGCGUAAAGCGCACGUAGGCGGCUUUGUAAGUUAGAGGUGAAAGCCCAGGGCUCAACCCUGGAAUUGCCUUUAAGACUGCAUCGCUUGAACACCGGAGAGGUAAGUGGAAUUCCGAGUGUAGAGGUGAAAUGCGUAGAUAUCGGAAGGAACACCAGUGGCGAAAGCGGCUUCCUGGUCCAGCACCGACGUUCAGGCACGAAAGCGUGGGGAGCAAACAGG